Molecule: unclassified non-coding RNA, 371 nt
Filed under: soil metagenome
Description: partial contains 5.8S ribosomal RNA, internal transcribed spacer 2, and large subunit ribosomal RNA
Rfam family: 5.8S ribosomal RNA (bases 1-120)
Source: RNAcentral
GAUGAAGAACGUAGCGAAAUGCGAUAAGUAAUGUGAAUUGCAGAAUUCAGUGAAUCAUCGAAUCUUUGAACGCACAUUGCGCCCGCCAGUAUUCUGGCGGGCAUGCCUGUUCGAGCGUCAUUUCAACCCUCAGGCCCCCAGUGCCUGGCGUUGGGGAUCGGCGUGGGCGGCGACGGCUCUCCGGAGCCCGAGCCAAUGCCUGCCGGCCCCGAAAUUCAGUGGCGGUCUCGCCGCAGCUUCCAUUGCGUAGUAGCUAACACCUCGCAACUGGAGAGCGGCGCGGCCACGCCGUAAAACACCCAACUUCUGAAUGUUGACCUCGAAUCAGGUAGGAAUACCCGCUGAACUUAAGCAUAUCAAUAAGCGGAGGA